CAGGACCGAGUCCAGCCGAGCUGCUCCUGCUGCCAGAAACCAUAGGAGGAGUUUCUAUUUACAAGAGUCUAGAAGAACUCUCUGGAACUGGGAGACGCAGCAGAGUAGAUGAUCUGGAUCACAUUAUUUAAUAAAACAUUUUCUGAGAUUCUGGAUAAUUUUAGUGAUCAGGAAUGAGAUUCUGGAUCAUUUCUUCAAACCAGAACCCAUAAAGACUUUGAAAGAAACGAUCUGCUGAACCAAAAUGAUCUAAGCGAUGACCUGAUCCCCCAGCAGCCAUCUGAAUGUAUGAAGGUAUGUGCCCCCCCCCCACGACAUUUUAUUUCAUUAAAAAGCCUUCCAGCUUCUUCUGGACUGAGGAUUAUUAUACGCUGUGGAAUCAAACCAACUUCCAUUAAAUCAAUAAGGUUUUUCAGAUGGCGGGGCUCAGGGUGCCCCCCCCUCGCUCCUUUAAGUCUAUGUAGUCACUUUUAGUCAGUUCCUGGAGGCCAAUCAGAUGCUGAUAACGUUAUCUGAGCACGGAGACACACAGAAACUCAACCGUGAGGCUGAAUGGAGCAGAUAAGAGGCCCCGCCCCUCGUGGCGUUUAUUGGACUCCUGGAUAGCUGGAAGAAGCUUCAGGUCGUGUGAUCGGAAAAUUUUUCCGAUCAAAUGAAAAGAAAAGAACAAAGUAAUCCUGCAAAGCAUUAUGGGAAGUCUGAACUCAUUGGAGGAAACUGUCAAAGACUUUAGAGGUUUUGCUUCUUUUACUCUUUUAAAAUGUAACUUGUGGACAGAAAUAUCAGGAAAACACUAGAAGUUGGUGAAAUACUGUCACUGCCUUCAUCUGCAGCAUCUGCCCGCAGUCAUCAUCACCUCACAGAUAUUUUCAGGGUUUUCUAAAGUGCAGUUCCUCACCGGUACCAGUAGGGGGCGUCGUUGGGGACACCGGCCUGGUUCAGGCUCCUUUGGGCCAGGGCCUUCUUCUUGUUUAGGACAAACUCUUGGAGACGCAUCUUCACCUCCGUGCUCGCCACGGCGCCUGAUGGCGGAACGGGAGAUUGGUUUGAAAAACAGGAAAAUGUUAUUUUUCUUUUUUCUAAAUUCUACUUUUCAUAUUUUAAAUAAAGUCUGUUAGAAAUCUG
Molecule: non-coding RNA, 1125 nt
Organism: Oryzias latipes (Japanese medaka)
Lineage: Eukaryota; Metazoa; Chordata; Actinopteri; Beloniformes; Adrianichthyidae
Source: RefSeq, a predicted model, not a curated record